GUAUGGCCGACAAAUGGUGGAAAGUAGGUGGGACUCUAUGUUUUCAGGUCAUUUAAGUAAUAAAAUGAGUCGUUUUUAGAAGAGUGACAGCACACCCGAGCCCGUGUCUCAGCGUCAAGAGUGAUUUUGCUGGACUUUUAAAGUUGACACUAUGCACAGCACUGUGAGCUCUGCCUUGGAAGUUCCGAGUAAAGGUUGUAUCACGAGCUUUCUGCAUGCCUGAACUGGAUGGGGGUGGAAUAUCUGCACUCAUGCAGAGGACACGGAAACUCUCACUCCCCAUGGGACAUUUCGACAGGCCUAUCUGGAGUCCACUGUUAGCAGUGGAGGAGCGACGUCCCUUCUUUGCCACAGCUACUUCUACCUCCUU
Molecule: long non-coding RNA, 370 nt
Organism: Haliotis rubra (blacklip abalone)
Lineage: Eukaryota; Metazoa; Mollusca; Gastropoda; Lepetellida; Haliotidae
Exons: 3
Source: RefSeq, a predicted model, not a curated record